GAUGAACGCUGGCGGCGUGCCUAAUACAUGCAAGUCGAGCGAACGGACGAGAAGCUUGCUUCUCUGAUGUUAGCGGCGGACGGGUGAGUAACACGUGGAUAACCUACCUAUAAGACUGGGAUAACUUCGGGAAACCGGAGCUAAUACCGGAUAAUAUUUUGAACCGCAUGGUUCAAAAGUGAAAGACGGUCUUGCUGUCACUUAUAGAUGGAUCCGCGCUGCAUUAGCUAGUUGGUAAGGUAACGGCUUACCAAGGCAACGAUGCAUAGCCGACCUGAGAGGGUGAUCGGCCACACUGGAACUGAGACACGGUCCAGACUCCUACGGGAGGCAGCAGUAGGGAAUCUUCCGCAAUGGGCGAAAGCAUGACGGAGCAAGGCCGCGUGAGUGAUGAAGGUAUUCGGAUCGUAAAGCUCUGUUAUUAGGGAAGAACAUAUGUAUGAGUAACUGUGCACAUCUUGACGGUACCAAAUCAGAAAGCCACGGCUAACUACGUG
RNAcentral lists this ribosomal RNA (497 nucleotides) under uncultured bacterium. RNAcentral's name for it is "partial 16S ribosomal RNA". It matches the Rfam family "Bacterial small subunit ribosomal RNA", at positions 28 to 507 of the family's 1533-position model. The record is from RNAcentral.